RNAcentral lists this ribosomal RNA (404 nucleotides) under Actinomycetes bacterium. RNAcentral describes it as "Actinobacteria bacterium partial 16S ribosomal RNA". It matches the Rfam family "Bacterial small subunit ribosomal RNA", at positions 355 to 776 of the family's 1533-position model. Lineage: Bacteria; Bacillati; Actinomycetota; Actinomycetes. The record is from RNAcentral.
UGGGGAAUAUUGGACAAUGGGCGCAAGCCUGAUCCAGCCAUGCCGCGUGAGUGAUGAAGGCCCUAGGGUUGUAAAGCUCUUUCACCGGUGAAGAUAAUGACGGUAACCGGAGAAGAAGCCCCGGCUAACUUCGUGCCAGCAGCCGCGGUAAUACGAAGGGGGCUAGCGUUGUUCGGAUUUACUGGGCGUAAAGCGCACGUAGGCGGACUUUUAAGUCAGGGGUGAAAUCCCGGGGCUCAACCCCGGAACUGCCUUUGAUACUGGAAGUCUUGAGUAUGGUAGAGGUGAGUGGAAUUCCGUGUGUAGAGGUGAAAUUCGUAGAUAUUCGGAGGAACACCAGUGGCGAAGGCGGCUCACUGGACCAUUACUGACGCUGGGGUGCGAAAGCGUGGGGAGCAAACAGG